UCCAAAAUAGCUUAGUUGGGAGAGCGUUAGACUGAAGAUCUAAAGGACCCUGGUGGCUCAGAUGGUAAAGAAUCUGCCUUCAGUGUGGGAGAUCUGGGUUCAAUCCCUGGGUCGGGAA
RNAcentral lists this transfer RNA (118 nucleotides) under Bos taurus (domestic cattle). It matches the Rfam family "tRNA". Rfam says of the family: Transfer RNA (tRNA) molecules are approximately 80 nucleotides in length. Their secondary structure includes four short double-helical elements and three loops (D, anti-codon, and T loops). Further hydrogen bonds mediate the characteristic L-shaped molecular structure. tRNAs have two regions of fundamental functional importance: the anti-codon, which is responsible for specific mRNA codon recognition, and the 3' end, to which the tRNAs corresponding amino acid is attached (by aminoacyl-tRNA synthetases). tRNAs cope with the degeneracy of the genetic code in two manners: having more than one tRNA (with a specific anti-codon) for a particular amino acid; and 'wobble' base-pairing, i.e. permitting non-standard base-pairing at the 3rd anti-codon position. The record is from Rfam by way of RNAcentral. Lineage: Eukaryota; Metazoa; Chordata; Mammalia; Artiodactyla; Bovidae.